This 465-nucleotide ribosomal RNA is filed under the name uncultured bacterium. RNAcentral's name for it is "partial 16S ribosomal RNA". It matches the Rfam family "Bacterial small subunit ribosomal RNA", at positions 28 to 507 of the family's 1533-position model. The record is from RNAcentral.
GACGAACGCUGGCGGCGUGCUUAACACAUGCAAGUCGAACGGAAAGGCCCCGUUGGUGGUACUCGAGUGGCGAACGGGUGAGUAACACGUGAGUAACCUGCCCUUGACUUCGGGAUAACUUUAGGAAACUGGGGCUAAUACCGGAUCGGAAUCCUUGCUGCAUGGUGGGGGUUGGAAAGCUUCGGCGGUUUUUGAUGGACUCGCGGCUUAACAGCUUGUUGGUGGGGUAGUGGCUUACCAAGGCUUUGGCGGGUAGCCGGACUGAGAGGGCGACCGGCAACAUUGGCACUGAGAGACGGCCCAGACUCCUACGGGAGGGAGAAGUGGGGAAUAUUGCACAAGGGGCGGAAGCCUGAUGCAGAAACGCCGCGUGCGGGAUGACGGCCUUCGGGUUGGAAACCGCUUGCAGCAGGGGCGAAGCUUGUGGUGACGGUACCUGCAGAAGAAGCACCGGCUAACUACGUG